GCUACCAUGCAGUCGACGAUGAUUAUCUAGCUUGCUAGAUAUGAUUAGUGGCGGACGGGUGAGUAACAUUUAGGAAUCUGCCUAGUAGUGGGGGAUAGCUCGGGGAAACUCGAAUUAAUACCGCAUACGACCUACGGGUGAAAGGGGGCGCAAGCUCUUGCUAUUAGAUGAGCCUAAAUCAGAUUAGCUAGUUGGUGGGGUAAAGGCCCACCAAGGCGACGAUCUGUAACUGGUCUGAGAGGAUGAUCAGUCACACCGGAACUGAGACACGGUCCGGACUCCUACGGGAGGCAGCAGUGGGGAAUAUUGGACAAUGGGGGCAACCCUGAUCCAGCCAUGCCGCGUGUGUGAAGAAGGCCUUUUGGUUGUAAAGCACUUUAAGCAGGGAGGAGAGGCUAAUGGUUAAUACCCAUUAGAUUAGACGUUACCUGCAGAAUAAGCACCGGCUAACUCUGUGCCAGCAGCCGCGGUAAUACAGAGGGUGCGAGCGUUAAUCGGAAUUACUGGGCGUAAAGCGAGUGUAGGUGGCUCAUUAAGUCACAUGUGAAAUCCCCGGGCUUAACCUGGGAACUGCAUGUGAUACUGGUGGUGCUAGAAUAUGUGAGAGGGAAGUAGAAUUCCAGGUGUAGCGGUGAAAUGCGUAGAGAUCUGGAGGAAUACCGAUGGCGAAGGCAGCUUCCUGGCAUAAUAUUGACACUGAGAUUCGAAAGCGUGGGUAGCAAACAGGAUUAGAUACCCUGGUAGUCCACGCCGUAAACGAUGUCUACUAGCCGUUGGGGUCCUUGAGACUUUAGUGGCGCAGUUAACGCGAUAAGUAGACCGCCUGGGGAGUACGGCCGCAAGGUUAAAACUCAAAUGAAAUUGACGGGGGCCCGCACAAGCGGUGGGAGCAUGUGGGUUUAAUUCGAUGGCAACGCGGAAGAAACCUUACCUGGUCCUGGACAUAGUGAAGAAUCCUGCCAGAGAUGCCGGGAGUGCCUUUCGGGGAAUUCACAUACCGGGUGCCGGCAUGGCCUGUCUGCCACCUCUCGGCCUUGAGAAUGUUUGGGGUUAAAGUCCCCGCCAACGAAGCGCAAACCCUUGUUUCCUUAUUUGCCAUCGGGUUAAGCCGGGAACUUUAAGGAUACUGCCAGUGACAAACUGGAGGAAGGCGGGGACGACGUCAAGUCAUCAUGGCCCUUACGACCAGGGCUACACACGUGCUACAAUGGUAGGUACAGAGGGUUGCUACACAGCGAUGUGAUGCUAAUCUCAAAAAGCCUAUCGUAGUCCGGAUUGGAGUCUGCAACUCGACUCCAUGAAGUCGGAAUCGCUAGUAAUCGCAGAUCAGAAUGCUGCGGUGAAUACGUUCCCGGGCCUUGUACACACCGCCCGUCACACCAUGGGAGUCUAUUGCACCAGAAGUAGGUAGCCUAACGCAAGAGGGCGCUACCACGCU
Molecule: ribosomal RNA, 1438 nt
Filed under: Faucicola osloensis
Lineage: Bacteria; Pseudomonadati; Pseudomonadota; Gammaproteobacteria; Moraxellales; Moraxellaceae
Description: bacterial SSU rRNA
Rfam family: Bacterial small subunit ribosomal RNA
Source: RNAcentral